UAUUAUUGCCUACCGAAAAUGUUCACUCGGUAAUCCUAUGCUUCACAAACUCACUCAACCAUCUUAACUGCCAGUAUUUAUCGGUAGCUGGGUACAAAUGUGGACAUUUUCGUACUUUCACAUAGUUUUUACUCUUUGCCCGCAAUUGUAGUCAAAGCUUCUUCUGUAAAUAUGACAUAUAGUUGACAUAUUGAACAAUUAUUGAAGUAUCGCCCCCACCCACAACGCAUGGUAUUGCAUGCUUCGGUGCGUCGCGUAUCAAAAACUGGGAUGACACAUUUUGCUACGCAUCGACGCAUAAUGGCGGCCAAAGCGUAGCGAUGCGUAGCCUUGCGGCCGCGUAUGCGUAGCAAUGCGUUGAGUAUGUAAGAGCUCUUAAAGUGGCUGCUGCUGACGUGAACUUUAACGUUACAGAGACAGGCGGCUGACCCACGUCAAUACCGAAGUAAAUGCCAGGGAUCUUUAGUUUGUGAAAGGCGGUGAGUUGUGACGACUGCUGUCCUGAGACCAUUGAGUGCAGUUUGGAAUAUUCCAAAUGUGUGCCAGUUCCAUAAGAAAAAAGUUCCAAUCAAGAGUACACUCACCAGUGGGCUCAAUAGUCCAGGACAAAGUCGGUCUGUCCUUCUACUACUACAUGCUACUUGACUUUGUCUGGAAGCCAUGGAUGCUGCCCUCAACAUGCUAAACCCUCACAAAUAAACUGAUAUCAAGAAUUAACAUUGAUGGUGAUGAUGGAAAGGCCUUCAUAAGGUGCCCUCCAACAACCCCAGCCUGGAGCCAGAGGCUGGUACUGCACAUCAGAUGGGGUAUGAUCUGUGCUAGGCAUCAGAAAGGAGGUCUACGCAAGAAGGCAAGAGCUUCUGCAGACAGUGUUGCAAUUAGACAUCUGACCUUUACUGCUAAAGGGAUCCCCAUCAGAGCACCUCUGCCUUCCCUGCAGGACAACUAUACCAGAAGAGUACGGGCAAGGACUCAACAUGUUUUAAAGGACAUUUCACGUCCAGACCAUGGACUGUUAAAACCACUGAGGUCAAGCAGAAGUCUUGUUCUCACUCGA
This is a long non-coding RNA of Sardina pilchardus (European sardine), 1057 nucleotides long. RefSeq lists it as uncharacterized. The record is from RefSeq and is a predicted model, not a curated record. Lineage: Eukaryota; Metazoa; Chordata; Actinopteri; Clupeiformes; Clupeidae. The transcript has 6 exons.